UCUAGGAGAGCAAGGCCGAGCAUUCAAGGCUUGUCCCUGAUGCCCUUGGCCCCCCCAGGCCUCUGGUCUUCCUGCUGUCUCCCUGGGGCCUAGCUUACCGAGUGUGCUGAGCCUGGGGGGAGCACUAGCAUUCUGGCUUUUGGGAGCCUGCAGAGGGCCACCGCACUGUUCCCACCCACCCCCCAACACACACACUUAGCUCCCCAGAAACCUACGUGGGCUGAGGGCCAACCUCCGCUCCACCUGGACCCCUGACAUGCCAGCUGACAUGCUUUUGUCAGCUGACAUUUGUUUCUCUUCCCACUGGUGGAACGAAGACCUCCCUGCCCUCUGCCCUGGCCGCUGGCCCCCCCUGACAGCAGGCCCGGAGAGGGGCACGGGGGCUCCAGCCCAGGCUCCCCCUAAGAUGCUAGCUGACUGUGCCCCGGGGGCUCAGGCCUUUCUCGUGCCUGUAGCUCCACUCCACCCCUCCAUGGCUCCCCACCAGUACAGGUCUCUCUUGGCCUAACAGCAGCCCUAGAAAGCAGAGACUGUCGCCACGUUUUUAAAAAAACUCAAAUCUUGGAGGUGAAGACACCUUCCUGGGAAAGUGAAGAGUGGGUUGUGAACCCCUACCCACAGCACACAGCGUAGAGUCUCCAACUCCCACACUUGACAACCUGUCCUGCCUCUGAGUCUUAGGACAAGGAGAACCGGAUUUGGCUGCAGGUGGGGGUUGGCAGAGUAGCUUGGCUACAGGUUCUUGGGGCUCCUGCCAGUGUGUCCCAAGGGACAAAGCCUCACACAGCUGGCCCCAGUUAUAGCCAUCCAGAAACCCACAGAAAACCUCGGGCCCAGAGUCUCCCGUGACUCCAGCACACAUGGGGUUCAGAGUAGGUGGGAGAUGCCCCCUUCCCUUCUGCCAGCAGAAGGGUCCUGACUGAGCUUGGCUGGAGCAGGGGCUGACCCUGUGGACUCUGCUCCCAGAGGGUAGGAAGCUCUGGGGCACUCGAGCCAGCAUCUCCUGGGCAAGAGUGUUCUCAGAAGGGAGAUCACCCCGUCACUGCCCCCCAUCGCCACUUCCUCUUGUGAUUAGGACUGAUAAGAUUGUUCCUCUGGGGUCAUGAGAUGAUCAAUGGCUGUUUCCAGCAGAGGCCAAAAGAAGAUAAGAGUGGGGGAAGGAGCAUGAUGUGGGGAAGGGACAGAGGCCGCCCAACUGGCCCUCCAAUCUCCUCCCUGCGAGUCUGGAGAUGGGUGAGGCACACCUGGGAACCACUACAGCCCCUCCCGAUCCAGCGCCGGGUGGGGAGAUGGAAACAAGAGACAGGAACAAAGGGUUGUGUGGUGAUUGGGUGAACUAUUGCAAGUGACAGAAAUGCCUGACUGAUAAACAGCUGUUAAAUUUCCAGGCUGGGGUCUGAGGCCAGCCCGGAUGAGUAAAGCCUGCUCGCACAGUGCUCCAGUGUCACACAGCACUGCCGCUUCCCCUCCGAGUAGCCCAGGGCUGGGCACACACCUGCCUUCUCUGAGUCUUACAGACCUCGUGUGUAACGUACUCCUUUACUGCCUUCAGUGAAAUCUACACAUAACAUCAUCUACCUACAUAAAUACCCCAAGUAAGAUAAAAGGAAAGUAAUGGAAUGUAAUUUAUAUUAAAAUAAAACAUUUUUCAGUGCAA
Molecule: long non-coding RNA, 1657 nt
Organism: Camelus dromedarius (Arabian camel)
Lineage: Eukaryota; Metazoa; Chordata; Mammalia; Artiodactyla; Camelidae
Exons: 2
Source: RefSeq, a predicted model, not a curated record